CCGUUAAGCAAUGACGUGACAAAUUAAGUGCCACAUCAUCAUGCCUUAUCAUCGACACGCCAUUGUCACGCCAUUGAAGGGAUGACAUGUCAAUGAGGUGUCCGUGACUAGGUGUGAUGAUGUGACACUCCAUUUGUCACGUCAUUACUUAAUAGAA
Glycine soja is the source of this 157-nucleotide non-coding RNA. The record is from Rfam. NCBI's taxonomy places the organism in Eukaryota, Viridiplantae, Streptophyta, Magnoliopsida, Fabales, Fabaceae.